RNAcentral lists this ribosomal RNA (819 nucleotides) under Triticum aestivum (bread wheat). RNAcentral's name for it is "partial small subunit ribosomal RNA". The record is from RNAcentral. Lineage: Eukaryota; Viridiplantae; Streptophyta; Magnoliopsida; Poales; Poaceae.
AUGGCGUCCAAGGCGCUUCUUCCUCGGGAGUGCCUCCCCCGGCGCAGUCCCGGCGGCGGCGCGGAGCCGAUUACGGUCUACGUCCGUGUGGACGAGGAGGGGAACUAUCACCCGAGGUAUUUCUCCGCCAAAAUUGGGCGAGUGUUCCGAGAUCUCCAGGAUCUUGAGCAAGCAGUCCGUACAUUCUACACCAGCAUCUACAUCGCCCGCCGCCUCCUAAAGAGGCCCCUGGAUCCGCCGCCCUCUCCGACCGACGACAUAUUCCAGUUCGAGUUCGUGGUGGAACCUGCAGCAGAUGUGUCAUCCCUCAAGGCUAGUACAGCAUUGGAGGAGAAAUCGUCCGGUUCCGACAAGGUUCCUGAUGAGAAGCCUGCAGAGGUGUCUUCCCUCAAGGACUCGCUCAAGGCUACAACAUUGGAGGAGAAAUCGUCUUCCUCUUCUUCCUCUGGGCAGCAGCCGGAUCAGGACACUGUUAUGGCCUCACCACCAUCAGGGAACUGCCUUGCCUCACCUUCUGGGCCAGGCAUUUGGCAACGAGAACGACAGGACUGGGGUUUCGGAUAUUACAUCAGGGUUGAUCUUAAGGGAUCUUUCCACACAUAUCCGAAAGCAGGCGGGCCGUUUCAGAGCUUAGAGGAAGUCGAUAAGGCUAUGGAUCGCUAUUUUCAUGAACAUCGGAAUCCAAAUCUGCUAAUGAAUAAAGGUGGGGUUCCGUCACGAGAGAUUUCUAUAGAAAAAGCUCGUUAUUGGCCUGAUGGCAGAAGGAAGAAGCUUUCCAGAUCCUAUAUCAUCCAGCAAUUCCAUAAUCGAAUGCGCUGA